AUAUUAGGCUCACAUGCUUGCUUUAGUGCACCGAAAGGGGGAGAAACGUAUUUACCAAUACAAAAGUUGCACCGUAACUUAGUCAACAACUUCACUAUUUCAGCUGGACAGGAGUGCGACGCGUAGCUGGGAAGCGUGAACAGAUUCAUACAAGCAGAUGCGCGGAGGAACCCGUCGCUAGCCGAGCUGCACCACGCGUCAAGCUGACAACAAGCACCGUGAGACACGGCGAAUAGCUGACACGGGGAAAAGCUCACAGCCGGCAUCGCUGUAACCUCAGGCAGGGUCUUGGGCUCUUAGUGCCGUCAGCUGCUCCUGUCAAGGUCACGCUAUGCUCAGCAAGGUGUCUUUACCAGAACGAGGGACUGAAGGGCUGUAAUCCUCCAGUCAGCAACGUUUGAUACUGCAAAUGAGAGCGAGCAAGUGAGAAACCGGCCCGCUGCCUUCCUCUCGCCUGCUUCCCGUUGCGGCUGCAGCUGUGGUGGGAGGCCCUAGACAGCAGCGAUGGAAAAUAAACCUGCUCUGGAAGGAGGGUGGACCAGCAAAAUGGGCCACAGCAAACAGCAGCUCCAAGCAACUGCAGUGUCUCCCUGAGGCAAUGGUAUGUGGUGCUGAAGCCCCUUCCCUGUUUCUGGUCCGUGAGAUUCAUCCAUGGUCUUCACGCAGCCGUUUCGCUGGCAAGCCACAAUCUGCUGGACGUUGAGAGGCUUAGGUUCACAGAUCAACGGCACCUGCGUGAGAAGCAUUAAGAUUUGGAAUACUGCCACUGUUUGCUGUAGACCACAGGAAAGAAAUCUUUACUUUGAAAGCCUGUGCUCUGCUUUACAUUCGCCAGGAUUAUCUAGGGCUUCCACAGACUGCCAGGACCUGCUUCUCCUGUACACUGAGGCAUCUUUGUACCAUCUGGGUGAAGUGAAAGAGGCUCUAGGUCUCUAAAAAUGCAAAUUCUGUCACAACUGUAAUUUAGCUUAUACCCACAGUAAUAACUGUUUGCAUCAUUAAAACGAUAUAAGUACUGUAAAUAAAGACCAGAAUUUCUGGACCAAG
Molecule: long non-coding RNA, 1047 nt
Organism: Dromaius novaehollandiae (emu)
Lineage: Eukaryota; Metazoa; Chordata; Aves; Casuariiformes; Dromaiidae
Exons: 2
Source: RefSeq, a predicted model, not a curated record